This 21-nucleotide non-coding RNA is filed under the name Caenorhabditis elegans. Lineage: Eukaryota; Metazoa; Nematoda; Chromadorea; Rhabditida; Rhabditidae. The record is from RNAcentral.
UCUGGACAUUUCUCCAUUUCU